Molecule: ribosomal RNA, 411 nt
Filed under: uncultured bacterium
Lineage: Bacteria
Description: bacterial SSU rRNA
Rfam family: Bacterial small subunit ribosomal RNA
Source: RNAcentral
GACGAACGCUGGCGGCGUGCUUAACACAUGCAAGUCGAACGGUAAGGCCCUUCGGGUACACGAGUGGCGAACGGGUGAGUAACACGUGGGUGAUCUGCCCUGCACUUCGGGAUAAGCCUGGGAAACUGGGUCUAAUACCGGAUAGGACCAUGGACUUCACGGUUUGUGGUGGAAAGCUUUUGCGGUGUGGGAUGGGCCCGCGGCCUAUCAGCUUGUUGGUGGGGUAAUGGCCUACCAAGGCGACGACGGGUAGCCGGCCUGAGAGGGUGUCCGGCCACACUGGGACUGAGAUACGGCCCAGACUCCUACGGGAGGCAGCAGUGGGGAAUAUUGCACAAUGGGCGCAAGCCUGAUGCAGCGACGCCGCGUGAGGGAUGACGGCCUCGGUUGUAACGUACUUCUACUAGGACG